This 6310-nucleotide long non-coding RNA is filed under the name Musa acuminata (dwarf banana). Its description in RNAcentral is "long non-coding RNA (MACU_LNC006592)". Lineage: Eukaryota; Viridiplantae; Streptophyta; Magnoliopsida; Zingiberales; Musaceae. The record is from RNAcentral.
GUACUCUGGUGUUGUGGGAUAAUGUGAACCUUUGCCAGAAAUGGUAAAGGGAGUUAUGCAUAGAGCCUGCGAUGCUCUGCCGGCCCCCUCUGACUUCACCUAGACGUGGGUGGAUGGAGCUCCCAGACGUGGGAGACUUCUGUCUGGUGGUCAUUCAGAAAUGGAUGAAUCACAUUCUGUCUGUGGUCCCACUACACCUUCUGUAUGUUUGAUAUGAUAUCCAGAGCUUUGGUUAUAUGUUUCUGUACAUGCUUUGGAUAAGAAUGAUAUGAAUGCAACGUCAAAGACGACGUUUGAGCUUCUGUUUGGUAUUUGUUAUUGAUAUGCUCCGAAAUGUUCCAUACGCCGUUGAUAUGCUCCGGAACAUUUCAUACGCCACUGAUAAGCUCCGAAACAUUUCAUUUGUUAUUUAUAUGCUCCGAAAUGUUUCAUUCAUCGUUGAUAUGCUUCAAAAUGUUCCAUACGCCGUUGAUAUGCUCCAAAACAUUUCAUACGCCAUUGAUAAGCUCCGAAAUAUUUCAUUCAUUGUUGAUAUGCUUCGAAAUGUUCCAUAUGUCGUUGAUAUGCUCCGGAACAUUUCAUACGCCAUUGAUAAGCUCCGAAAUGUUUCAUUUAUUGUUGAUAUGCUUCGAAAUGUUCCAUACGCCGUUGAUAUGCUCCAGAACAUUUCAUACGUCAUUGAUAAGCUCCGAAAUGUUUCAUUUGUUAUUGGUAUGCUCCGAAACGUUUCAUUCGUUGUUGAUAUGCUCCAAUUACUCUAUGCUCCAUCUGUUAUGAACCAAAUAUGUUUGAUUAAAAUGUCAUUUGUGAUUUUGCAUCUAAUGAUAUUACGUCUAUGAAUUCUUAUAUUCUGCCUUGCAUUUUGAUACUUUAUCUCUUUGGAAAUUGUCCUAUUUUGACAUGGAUAUGUUAGUCACUUGCUGAGCUUUAUAUGCUCACCCCAUUGUUGUAUAAAUUUUUCAGGAUAGCUUGUCGCUUGCUUAAAUGUUAAGAUUGGGCUAAGGUAGUGGAAAGCUAAAAGAUUUUGGGCAGAUCUUUAUUAGUAUAUAUGUUUUUGUUGUAUAAGUACACUCUGCAUCUAAUGAAAUGUUGACGAUGAAUCUAAACUUGUGGAUGUUGUAUAAGUUUAAAGGACCUCUCAUGUUUAGGAUUCUGGAAUGUUAAGUUUCAUUUGUGUAACGAUAUGAACUUAUGGUAAACGUUGGUUUUGUGACUGUAUAGACCCCCACACUUGUGAAUUUAUGUUGUGGUUAUUAAUUUGAUGAGUUGGGUUCAGAUUUUAUGAAUCAUCGAGCAAUGUGUUGUAUAUUUAUAAACUGCGCAGGUUUUAUAGAUAUGAAUUUGAUAUAAUGUUUUUCAGUGUCCUCAAAUGUUAGUUUGGAUCCUGGAUUGAUUUGUUUUCUUGAAUUUUAAUAUUAUCGAUAUUAUUUGAGGGGGCGUGACAGAGGUGGUAUCAGAGCAUGGUUUGAAGAUCACUGAAAUAUUUGAUUUGUUGACGUGCAAAAUAUAUUAAGGCCUAAUGUAUUAUAGUGAUUGGUGAAAAUUUUCUUUGAUGCAUUUUAGGAAUCUAGGAUAAUGAGGACGUUUGGUCCUCCUAUUUCAUUUGGUUCUGAUUAAUUAAGGGGGAUGAAAGGGUGGAUCGAAGAUACUAAAUCAGAGUAGCGCAAUGAAAGCAUGGUAGACCUAAUUUCAUUGGUGGUAGAAAAAUGGAUGAUGCGAAUGGAAAAGAUAUUUGAUGUACGAAAUUAUUUCGAUGAUCAAAAAGAUUUCUUUUGCCACCUUAUAUUGGAAGUAGAGACUAAUUAUUAAUGGCAACAAUGAAAAGAAUUUUUGAAGAUUUGUGGCAAGAAUGAUAAGGAUAAGUUUACCAAUAAAAAUAUGAUUGGAAAUGAAUCAAAAAGUAAUAACAAAAGGGUCAAGACAUUUGGAUUUGAAAUGGGAAGUCACCACAAAAGACUUAAUCAUGUGUGAAUUACAAGUUGACUUAUGAAAUAAAUUUGUGUUUUCGGGUGACUGGAGUCUAUUUUGCUUGUAGAAAGUUGUAUCAUAAAAUAAAAGACUGCCCUUUGAACAAGAAGAAAGAGUCACUGCCUCAUAAAUCAUCAGCUCAUGUCAGAAUGUAUGCUAUCACUGAAUAUGAUUCUAAAACUUCUGAAUUUGUAGUCGAAGGUAUUAUGCAUGUUUAUGAAAGUAUGCAAAUAUUUGUUUGGCCAUGGGUCCUAUCUACGAUUUGAUUCGUAAUAUUUUGCUUGUCACUUGGGCAUUCAACCUAGACCACUACAUUAUGUGGUAUAUGUAAAGUACAAUCAUUGGAGAUUCUUUGAUAACGAACAUGAAUCUAGUCCUCUUGUCUGAUUUUAUUGGAGAACUUGAACUUUUUGCUGAUUUAGUUCUCCUAAAGAUUUGGAGUUUGAUAUUAUACUUGGCAUGGAUUGGUUAUCUUCUCAUCAUGCUAGUAUUGAUUGUUACAAAAAAAUAAUUACUUUCUGCAUAUCAGAUCAGCCUAUAUUUUACUUUGAGGGCACUAGGCAUGAUUUGCCUCCUUGCUUGAUGUCAGCACUUCAAGCUUAUCGUCUUAUGCAGAAGGGUUGUUUCUAUUAUAUGGUGUGUGUAAAGGAGCAUUCAAAUCAGGAAACCCAUCUAGAUGAAAUUUUAAUGGUCAAAGAGUUCCCUAAUGUAUUCCCAGAUGACUUGCCUUGUUUACCUCUAGAUAGAGAGGGUAAAAUUGCUAUUGAUCUAGUCCCUAGUACAACCCCAAUAUCUAAGCCUCCCUACAGAAUGGCACCACUCGAGCUAGAGGAAUUAAAGAAGCUACUACAAGAAUUAUUAGAUAAGGGUUUCAUACGACCCAGCGUAUCUCCAUGGGGUGCUCUGGUACUAUUAGUGAAGAAGAAGGAUGGAACACUAAGGCUUUGUAUUGAUUAUAGAUAGUUGAAUCAGGUGAGCAUCAAAAAUAAGUAUCCCAUACCCAGAAUUGAUGAUUUGUUUGAUCAACUGUAGGGUGCACAAGUAUUCUCUAAGAUUGACCUGAGGUAAGGUUACUAUCAGUUGAAGAUCAAGGAGGAGGAUAUUCCAAAAACAGUUUUCAAAACUCGAUAUGGUCACUAUGAAUUCUUGGUGAUGCCUUUUGGUUUGACUAAUGCCCUUGCAGCUUUUAUGGAACUAAUGAAUAGGAUAUUUCAACCGCUCUUGGAUGGCUAUGUAAUUGUAUUUAUUGAUGACAUAUUGGUGUAUUCAAGGAGUAAUCAGGAGCAUGAGGAACACUUGAGAAAUGUAUUGUCGAUACUAAGAGAAAAGAAGUUGUAUGCAAAGUUCAGCAAAUAUGAAUUGUGGUUGAAUGAAGUUGCUUUCUUAGGCCAUGUGAUUUCAGGGAAGGGUAUAUCUGUUGAUCCAAAGAAAAUAGAAGCUAUAGUUGAAUGGGAAGUACCAACAAAUGUAAUAGAAAUUAGAAGCUUCUUGGGCAUGGCAGGUUAUUACAAGAGAUUUGUGGAGGGAUUUUCUUGAAUCGCUCAACCUCUCACCAAACUCACUAAAAAGAAUGUGAAAUUUGUAUGGGGUCAUGAUUGUGAGCAAAGUUUUCAAGAGUUAAAAAGAAGAUUGACUAGUGCUCCUAUUCUCACUAUUCCAAGUGGUAGUGAGGGAUUUGUAGUUUAUAUUGAUGUUUCAAGAAAGGGCCUUGGAUGUGUUUUGAUGCAGGAAGGGAGAGUGAUUGCUUAUGCUUCUAGGCAACUAAAAGGUUAUGAAUUGAAUUAUCCAACUCAUGAUUUGGAAUUGGCGGCAAUUAUUUUUGCUCUAAAGAUUUGGAGACAUUAUUUGUAUGGUCGACAAUUUGAAAUCUUUACUAAUCACAAGAGUUUAAAAUAUAUUUUCACUCAGAAAGAGUUAAACAUGAGACAACGAAGAUGGAUAGAACUUCUGAAGGAUUAUGAUUGUGCCAUCCGUUAUCACCCGGGCAAAGCCAAUGUUAUAGCUGAGCACUUAGUAGAAAAUCUACAAGUUUUAUGGCUAGUCUGGUCAUGAAGCAAUGGAAGUUAUUAGAAGAAAAUUUUGAUUUGAAAGCUUUAAGGAAAGAGCAAGACUCAAUGAUAUUGAUGGCCUCCAUUCAAGUGCAAUCUAAUUUUAUUCAACAAAUUAAGGAUAAUUAUGAGAUUGACAUUUAAUCUACUUGAGGAAUGAAGUAGAAAAGGAAUUGAAGCCAAAAUUUCAAGUUUCAAAGGAUGGCCUAUUGAGAUUUAGGGAGAGAGUAUAUGUACCAAAUGAACCAGAUAUCAACAAUCAAAUCCUAAAGGAAAGUCAUACUUCAAAGUACACCAUGCAUCCUGGGAGCUAGAGGUAUGAUAAAUUUAGAGUACUAAAUUUUUCUUUUAAGGGGGGGAGAGUGUAACAUCCCUCAUUUCUGAAUUUUCGUAUAAAUUUCUAGUUGUAAUAUAAGUAUCUAUUUUAAAUUUAAUAAAAAGUAAAAGUAUGAAUCUGUGAACUUAUUCAUAAGAUUUGGAGGAUUUGUUAAAAAAAAAAAAAAAUCUGAGAACCUAUUUGUAAACCCUGAGAACCUAAUCGUAAACAUAAUAAUACAAGGACUAAACUGCAAAAUGCAUAAAAUUACAAAUUCCACCGUUUAAGCCUCUCUGCCUUCGUUCAUAAGGAACCAGGCAGCUGCGUGGAAGAACAGGAGAAAGAAAGAAGGAAGAAGAGAAGAAAAAGGGGGAAGAAGAAGAAGAAAAAAAUUUGGGGCUUUGAGGUUUCUUGCUCAAAUCUUCUCAUUUAGGGUCAUAAUUCUCAAAGGCAAGUAUUCUAAUCUCAUCCUACAGAAAUAUUAGUCUUUAAUCUCAUAUUUAUUCUGAAUUAUUCGAAAGAUUUAAGCCUAGAACCUGAUAUUUCUCUUGUUAGAUACAAAAAUCAUGGAUCUGAAAUUUUUUGGUAAACUGACCACUAUAUAUUGUUUCAGCCAUAAUUUUUAGUACCAAACAUUGUUUAUUUGAAAGUAGACUCUUAUACCUUCAUUUUCGCACUGAUUUUGAAAAUUUUGGACUCCGAAUACUUACCCAAACGUCUGUUUCAAUUGAGCCUAUGGAUGCUGCAAAACAGGGAUCAAAAUUUCUGACCUUUUGAUACUAAAAUGCCAAUAAGUCCCUGUUGUAUAUUCUGAAUUGUACCAAAUUGAUUUCAUUUGAAACUAGGCUUUAAAACCUUUCUUUUGAUAUAUAGACUGAAAAUUUUGGAAUUCAAAUGCCUAUUCUGCUAUCUAUUGAUUCUGCCCUAUGGAUUCUGCAAAACAGUGAUUUAGUUUUUUGACCUUCGGUCACUAAAUCAAUGGUAACUCCUUGUUGGAAACCUUGAUUCAUAUGAAACUUAUUUCAUCAGAAAAUAGAUUGAUUUAUCUUUCGACAGUAGCUUUCUUAAGGGUAUUGGAGUAUAAUUGAUAAUCUGAAGUAUUUGUUCAAUGUGCCUCUUGAAUCCUGACAGAAUCGAGCUUUAGUCGAUUUCGCAUAUUCUGUUUCAUUCAUUUGGAAAUAGAUUCCAUGCAGUCCCCUUCGCUUAAUUGAGGCUUAUGGUAGUGCUUGAAUUCUGGUUUGCUCUUGCCUAUAAAUUAUUUACAUUCUUGAAACAUUUUUGUGUAACGUUUAUGCUAUAUCGCAUUGACACAUAUAGGCACAUGUAUAUCCCAUUGUUCCGUAUUUGCUUUCGAUAUAUGUCUAUUCUAGUUUCAUCCCUUUGGAUAUUGAAUUCAUCUAACCUUCUUAUUUGAAUUGAGCUACAUAUGAUUGCUUGGAAUCCUGGUAUACUCUUGCUUUCAUUUCAUUCCAAAUCUGAAUACAUUUGUGAGAGAUUGUUGCUUGCAUCGUAUUGACUCGUAAAGGCACAUGUACGUUUUGUUGUUCCGCGUGUGCUUCCGAUAUAUACUAAUCAUUGUUCAUACUGCCCUUUUGUACUCUGGUGUUGUGGGAUAAUGUGAACCUUUGCCAGAAAUGGUAAAGGGAGUUAUGCAUAGAGCCUGCGAUGCUCUGCCGGCCCCGUCUGACUUCACCUAGACGUGGGUGGAUGGAGCUCCCAGACGUGGGAGACUUCUGUCUGGUGGUCAUUCAGAAAUGGAUGAAUCACAUUCUGUCUGUGGUCCCACUACACCUUCUGUAUGUUUGAUAUGAUAUCCAGAGCUUUGGUUAUGUGUUUCUAUACAUGCUUUGGAUAAGAAUGAUAUGAAUGCAACGUCAAAGACGACGUUUGAGCUUAUGUUUGGUAUUUGUUAUUGAUAUGCUCUGAAAUGUUCCAUACGCCGUUGAUAUGCUCCGGAACAUUUCAUACGCCACUGAUA